GUAGUCGCGGCCGAGUGGUUAAGGUGAUGGACCAGAAAUCCAUUGGGGUUUCCCCACGCAGGUUCGAAUCCUGACGACUAUG
This 82-nucleotide transfer RNA is filed under the name Danio rerio (zebrafish). RNAcentral's name for it is "tRNA-Ser (AGA) (tRNA-Ser-AGA-175-1)". It matches the Rfam family "tRNA". Rfam says of the family: Transfer RNA (tRNA) molecules are approximately 80 nucleotides in length. The record is from Rfam by way of RNAcentral. Lineage: Eukaryota; Metazoa; Chordata; Actinopteri; Cypriniformes; Danionidae.